RNAcentral lists this small nuclear RNA (178 nucleotides) under Pterocles gutturalis (yellow-throated sandgrouse). RNAcentral's name for it is "U2 spliceosomal RNA". It matches the Rfam family "U2 spliceosomal RNA". Rfam says of the family: U2 is a small nuclear RNA (snRNA) component of the spliceosome (involved in pre-mRNA splicing). Complementary binding between U2 snRNA (in an area lying towards the 5' end but 3' to hairpin I) and the branchpoint sequence (BPS) of the intron results the bulging out of an unpaired adenosine, on the BPS, which initiates a nucleophilic attack at the intronic 5' splice site, thus starting the first of two transesterification reactions that mediate splicing. The record is from Rfam by way of RNAcentral. Lineage: Eukaryota; Metazoa; Chordata; Aves; Pterocliformes; Pteroclidae.
AUUGUUUCUCGGCCUUUUGGCUGAGAGGGAGUGUAGUAUGUGUUCUUAUCAGAGUUUUAUAUCUGAUGCAUUGUUCGUGAGAGCACGCUAUUUUAAAGGGUCUUUUGAAGUCGAGAGUUGGAUCCGGAGCUUGUUCCGUCCGCUCCGCGCAUCGUCCCGGUAAUGCGGUGCAUCCCCC